Molecule: ribosomal RNA, 226 nt
Filed under: uncultured bacterium
Lineage: Bacteria
Description: partial 16S ribosomal RNA
Rfam family: Bacterial small subunit ribosomal RNA
Source: RNAcentral
UACGUAGGGACCAAGCGUUGUUCGGAUUUACUGGGCGUAAAGGGCGCGUAGGCGGCUUAACAAGUCACUUGUGAAAUCUCCGGGCUUAACUCGGAACGGCCAAGUGAAACUGUCAAGCUAGAGUGCAGAAGGGGCAAUCGGAAUUCUUGGUGUAGCGGUGAAAUGCGUAGAUAUUCGCAAGAACACCCAGUGGCGAAGGGCGGACUCACUGGCCCGGCUACGCGGU